Molecule: ribosomal RNA, 332 nt
Filed under: uncultured bacterium
Lineage: Bacteria
Description: bacterial SSU rRNA
Rfam family: Bacterial small subunit ribosomal RNA
Source: RNAcentral
UGCGCAGGCGGGCUCGCAAGUGCUUUGUGAAAUCCCACGGCUCAACCGUGGAAUUGCUUGGCAUACUGCGGGUCUUGAGGUCGGUAGAGGUUGCCGGAACUCUAGGUGGAGCGGUGAAAUGCGUAGAUAUCUAGAGGAACGCCAAAGGCGAAGGCAGGCAACUGGGCCGAUUCUGACGCUCAGGCACGAAAGCGUGGGGAGCGAACGGGAUUAGAUACCCCGGUAGUCCACGCCCUAAACUAUGUGCACUGGAUCCAGGAGGCUCUGACGCCAUCUGGGUCGUAGUAAAAACAUUAAGUGCACCGCCUGGGGAGUACGGUCGCAAGGCUAAA